UCUCCGUUGGUGAACCAGCGGAGGGAUCAUUACCGAGUUUACAACUCACAAACCCAAUGUGAACCAUACCAAACUGUUGCCUCGGCGGGGUUACGCCCCGGGUGCGUCGCAGCCCCGGAACCAGGCGCCCGCCGGAGGGACCAACCAAACUCUUUCUGUAGUCCCCUCGCGGACGUUAUUUUUACAGCUCUGAGCAAAAACUCAAAAUGAAUCAAAACUUUCAACAACGGAUCUCUUGGUUCUG
This 244-nucleotide unclassified non-coding RNA is filed under the name plant metagenome. RNAcentral describes it as "partial contains small subunit ribosomal RNA, internal transcribed spacer 1, and 5.8S ribosomal RNA". The record is from RNAcentral.